This 401-nucleotide ribosomal RNA is filed under the name uncultured bacterium. Its description in RNAcentral is "bacterial SSU rRNA". It matches the Rfam family "Bacterial small subunit ribosomal RNA", at positions 29 to 459 of the family's 1533-position model. The record is from RNAcentral.
AACGUACGCUGGCGGCACGCCUAACACAUGCAAGUCGAACGCAGUAGCAAUACUGAGUGGCAGACGGGUGAGUAACAUGUGGGAAUCUGCCUUGUGGUNCAGGACAACAUUGGGAAACCGAUGCUAAUACUGGAUAAGCCUUACGGGGAAAGUUUUAAUGCCAUAAGAUGAGCCCGCAUUUGAUUAGUUAGUUGGUGAGGUAAUGGCUCACCAAGACAAUGAUCAAUAGCUGAUCUGAGAGGAUGAUCAGCCACACUGGGACUGAGACACGGCCCAGACUCCUACGGGAGGCAGCAGUGGGGANUCUUGCACAAUGGAGGAAACUCUGAUGCAGCGAUGCCGCGUGAGUGAAGAAGCCUUUGGGUUGUAAAGCUCUUUUGUAGGGGAAGAUAAUGACUGUA